RNAcentral lists this ribosomal RNA (486 nucleotides) under uncultured bacterium. RNAcentral describes it as "partial 16S ribosomal RNA". It matches the Rfam family "Bacterial small subunit ribosomal RNA", at positions 30 to 507 of the family's 1533-position model. The record is from RNAcentral.
AUUGAACGCUGGCGGCAUGCCUUACACAUGCAAGUCGAACGGCAGCACGGGUGCUUGCACCUGGUGGCGAGUGGCGAACGGGUGAGUAAUACAUCGGAACAUGUCCUGUAGUGGGGGAUAGCCCGGCGAAAGCCGGAUUAAUACCGCAUACGAUCUACGGAUGAAAGCGGGGGACCUUCGGGUCUCGCGCUAUAGGGUUGGCCGAUGGCUGAUUAGCUAGUUGGUGGGGUAAAGGCCUACCAAGGCGACGAUCAGUAGCUGGUCUGAGAGGACGACCAGCCACACUGGGACUGAGACACGGCCCAGACUCCUACGGGAGGCAGCAGUGGGGAAUUUUGGACAAUGGGCGAAAGCCUGAUCCAGCAAUGCCGCGUGUGUGAAGAAGGCCUUCGGGUUGUAAAGCACUUUUGUCCGGAAAGAAAUCCUUGGCCCUAAUACGGUCGGGGGAUGACGGUACCGGAAGAAUAAGCACCGGCUAACUACGUG